AGGGCACCACCAGGAGUGGAGCCUGCGGCUUAAUUUGACUCAACACGGGAAAACUCACCCGGCCCGGACACUGGAAGGAUUGACAGAUUGAGAGCUCUUUCUUGAUUCAGUGGGUGGUGGUGCAUGGCCGUUCUUAGUUGGUGGAGUGAUUUGUCUGGUUAAUUCCGAUAACGAACGAGACUCUAGCCUACUAAAUAGUCGCGGGCGUUCUCGUACCGCCCGUCGGCUUCUUAGAGGGACAGGCGGCGUCUUAGCCGCAUGAGAAAGAGCAAUAACAGGUCUGUGAUGUCCUUAGAUGUCCGGGGCUGCACACGCACUACACUGAAAUAAUCAAGGCGCAUGCGCCCACCUACCCCUAAAGGGGCGGGAAACCCAGUGAACCUUUUUCGUGUCUGGGAGUGGGAAUUGUAAUUAUUUUCCAUGAACGAGGAAUUCCCAGUAAGCACAAGUCAUCAGCUUGUGUUGAUUACGUCCCUGCCCUUUGUACAUACCGCCUGUCUCUACUACCGAUUGGAUGUU
This 519-nucleotide ribosomal RNA is filed under the name uncultured eukaryote. RNAcentral's name for it is "bacterial SSU rRNA". It matches the Rfam family "Eukaryotic small subunit ribosomal RNA", at positions 1161 to 1697 of the family's 1831-position model. The record is from RNAcentral.